Molecule: long non-coding RNA, 601 nt
Organism: Dermacentor albipictus
Lineage: Eukaryota; Metazoa; Arthropoda; Arachnida; Ixodida; Ixodidae
Source: RefSeq, a predicted model, not a curated record
UCUCAUUCUGUGCUGGAAACACUAGGAGGCAGGAAGUUUGAAAAAACGGCCACUGCCGCCCGCUAUUUCUCGGUCGUGGGUUCGUUAUCCAGUUGUGCGUCAUUCUAAGCCGUUCUGUAAUGCAUUUAUACUGGAUAUUACCUGGAGUCAUUUAGCUGUGCUGAUGCUGUGUGCCGUGUGUUUUGCAUCAGUGCUUCGUGACAUCGGCUGUAUUGCGUGUUUUCGCCGACGGCUUCUACCACAAUGGGGGGAUCUGCGUUCGCCGCCUUCGUGUCUCGGUGCGCCUUUGUACGUCGCACGUUCGGAUAACACUUUUUCCGACGGCCGGACAUCCUUCUUGUACCUUGGCGCUAGCUGGAUGACGGGACCUCAUGAUCAGUGUAUUGCUUUCCUAUGUCUACAAGAACCGUCACGCGUGGCCUGUGACAGCAAGCUUUUGUGGGCAGCCAGUGCUCUCCUACGAAGGCUGGCCUACUCUGGCAGCGGCGGCAAUCAUCUUCAAGAUUUAUCGAUGAUCACCUUUGCUGCUAUUUGUCACUCUUCUUAAUUACACUUUCUGCAUCUUUUCUAAUCUAUUAGGUAAUAAAGUAUGAGUAUGUGA